RNAcentral lists this long non-coding RNA (375 nucleotides) under Gallus gallus (chicken). Its description in RNAcentral is "long non-coding RNA NONGGAT005130". Lineage: Eukaryota; Metazoa; Chordata; Aves; Galliformes; Phasianidae. The record is from RNAcentral.
GCAGUUACACCUUCAUCCCCUACACGGUGACGGCCCACGGAGAGGUGCUGUGCUGCGAGAGCAGCCCUGAGCAGCGCCCCACUGAGCAGCGCCCCACUGAGCAGCGCCCCACUGAGCUCCCCCCGCCCGGCUGCGACACGGAGCCCUUCACCCCACUGACGGCGCGGCUCGUGCGGCUGCUGGAGGGCGUCCCCACCAACUCCUGCGGAUAUUUCAGGGAGACCCUCCGACGUGACAUCCGCCGGGCGCGGGAGCUGUUCCGGGGCGAGCAGCUGAGCCGGGAGCUGAGGCUCAUCCAGCAGCGCCUGGACAGCGUGGAGCUGCUCAGCCUGGACAUCGUGGUCAGCCUGCUGCUGUCCUACCGCGACGCGCAGG